RNAcentral lists this unclassified non-coding RNA (328 nucleotides) under soil metagenome. RNAcentral's name for it is "partial contains 5.8S ribosomal RNA, internal transcribed spacer 2, and large subunit ribosomal RNA". The stretch from base 1 to 120 matches the Rfam family "5.8S ribosomal RNA", at positions 35 to 154 of the family's 154-position model. The record is from RNAcentral.
GAUGAAGAACGUAGCGAAAUGCGAUAAGUAGUGUGAAUUGCAGAAUUCAGUGAAUCAUCGAAUCUUUGAACGCACAUUGCGCCCCUUGGUAUCCCGAGGGGCAUGCCUGUUCGAGCGUCAUUUCACCACUCAAGCCUGGCUUGGUGUUGGGCGACGUCCCCUUUGGGACGCGCCUCGAAACGCUCGGCGGCGUGGCACCGGCUUUAAGCGUAGCAGAAUCUUUCGCUUUGGAAGUCGGGGCCCCGUCUGCCGGAAGACCUACUCGCAAGGUUGACCUCGGAUCAGGCAGGGAUACCCGCUGAACUUAAGCAUAUCAAUAAGCGGAGGA